RNAcentral lists this ribosomal RNA (514 nucleotides) under uncultured bacterium. Its description in RNAcentral is "partial 16S ribosomal RNA". It matches the Rfam family "Bacterial small subunit ribosomal RNA", at positions 28 to 523 of the family's 1533-position model. The record is from RNAcentral.
GAUGAACGCUGGCGGCGUGCCUAAUACAUGCAAGUCGAGCGAACUGAUUAGAAGCUUGCUUCUAUGACGUUAGCGGCGGACGGGUGAGUAACACGUGGGCAACCUGCCUGUAAGACUGGGAUAACUUCGGGAAACCGAAGCUAAUACCGGAUAGGAUCUUCUCCUUCAUGGGAGAUGAUUGAAAGAUGGUUUCGGCUAUCACUUACAGAUGGGCCCGCGGUGCAUUAGCUAGUUGGUGAGGUAACGGCUCACCAGGGCAACGAUGCAUAGCCGACCUGAGAGGGUGAUCGGCCACACUGGGACUGAGACACGGCCCAGACUCCUACGGGAGGCAGCAGUAGGGAAUCUUCCGCAAUGGAUGAAAGUCUGACGGAGCAACGCCGCGUGAGUGAUGAAGGCUUUCGGGUCGUAAAACUCUGUUGUUAGGGAAGAACAAGUACAAGAGUAACUGCUUGUACCUUGACGGUACCUAACCAGAAAGCCACGGCUAACUACGUGCCAGCAGCCGCCGUAA